GACGAACGCUGGCGGCGUGCUUAACACAUGCAAGUCGAACGGAAAGGCCUCGCUUGCAGGGUGCUCGAGUGGCGAACGGGUGAGUAACACGUGGGUGGUCUGCCCUGCACUUCGGGAUAAGCCUCGGAAACUGGGUCUACUACCGGACAGGAGCCAGUAUUAGCGUGAUGGGUGGAAAGCUUUUUCGGUGUAGGAUGAGCUCGCGGCCUAUCAGCUUGUUGGUGGGGUAAUGGUCUACCAAGGCGGCGACCGGUAGCCGGCCUGUGAGGGUGGACGGCCACAUUGGGACUGAGAGACAGCCCAGACUCCUACGGGAGGCAGCAGGGGGGAAGAAUGCACAAUGGGCGCAAGCCUGAUGCAGCGAGGCCGCGUGGGGGAUGACGGACGUCGGGUUGUAAACUCCCUUCGCUAGGGACGAAGCUUUUUGUGACGGUACCUAGAGAAGAAGCACCGGCUAACUACGUG
RNAcentral lists this ribosomal RNA (465 nucleotides) under uncultured bacterium. RNAcentral describes it as "partial 16S ribosomal RNA". It matches the Rfam family "Bacterial small subunit ribosomal RNA", at positions 28 to 507 of the family's 1533-position model. The record is from RNAcentral.